This 758-nucleotide ribosomal RNA is filed under the name uncultured bacterium. Its description in RNAcentral is "bacterial SSU rRNA". It matches the Rfam family "Bacterial small subunit ribosomal RNA", at positions 57 to 862 of the family's 1533-position model. The record is from RNAcentral.
GCAAGUCGAGCGGGCCCUUCGGGGUCAGCGGCAGACGGGUGAGUAACGCGUGGGAACGUACCAUUUGCUACGGAAUAACUCAGGGAAACUUGUGCUAAUACCGUAUGAGCCCGAAAGGGGAAAGAUUUAUCGGCAAAUGAUCGGCCCGCGUUGGAUUAGCUAGUUGGUGGGGUAAAGGCCUACCAAGGCGACGAUCCAUAGCUGGUCUGAGAGGAUGAUCAGCCACACUGGGACUGAGACACGGCCCAGACUCCUACGGGAGGCAGCAGUGGGGAAUAUUGGACAAUGGGCGCAAGCCUGAUCCAGCCAUGCCGCGUGAGUGAUGAAGGCCCUAGGGUUGUAAAGCUCUUUCACCGGUGAAGAUAAUGACGGUAACCGGAGAAGAAGCCCCGGCUAACUUCGUGCCAGCAGCCGCGGUAAUACGAAGGGGGCUAGCGUUGUUCGGAUUUACUGGGCGUAAAGCGCACGUAGGCGGGCUAAUAAGUCAGGGGUGAAAUCCCGGGGCUCAACCCCGGAACUGCCUUUGAUACUGUUAGUCUUGAGUAUGGUAGAGGUGAGUGGAAUUCCGAGUGUACAGGUGAAAUUCUUAGAUAUUCGGAGGAACACCAGUGGCGAAGGCGGCUCACUGGACCAUUACUGACGCUGAGGUGCAAAAGCGUGUGGAGCAAACAGGAUUAGAUACCCUGGUAUUCCACGCCGUAUACGAUGAAUGUUAGCCGUUGGGGAGUUUACUCUUCCGUGGCGCAUCUAACUCAUUA